UACGUAGGGCGCAAGCGUUGUCCGGAAUUAUUGGGCGUAAAGAGCUCGUAGGCGGUUUGUCGCGUCUGCUGUGAAAACCUAAGGCUCAACCUUGGGCUUGCAGUGGGUACGGGCAGACUAGAGUGCGGUAGGGUGACUGGAAUUCCUGGUGUAGCGGUGGAAUGCGCAGAUAUCAGGAGGAACACCGAUGGCGAAGGCAGGUCACUGGGCCGCAACUGACGCUGGAGGAGCGAAAGCCAUGGGAGCGAACAGG
Molecule: ribosomal RNA, 253 nt
Filed under: uncultured bacterium
Lineage: Bacteria
Description: partial 16S ribosomal RNA
Rfam family: Bacterial small subunit ribosomal RNA
Source: RNAcentral